CUUAAUUCCUGAAAGUUAACUCUCUAGUAGGGAGAAAAUUUAACGAGUAUGCGACACCUGUUGGAAAUUUUUAAUACUAACUUUUUAAAAAAUAAUAAU
Cotesia glomerata is the source of this 99-nucleotide long non-coding RNA. RefSeq lists it as uncharacterized. Lineage: Eukaryota; Metazoa; Arthropoda; Insecta; Hymenoptera; Braconidae. The record is from RefSeq and is a predicted model, not a curated record. The transcript is spliced from 3 exons.